AAUAAUAUAGUUUAAAUAAAAUUUUAAAUUGCAAAUUUAAAGAUAGAUCAUUCUUAUUAUUU
Molecule: transfer RNA, 62 nt
Filed under: Hydroporus melanarius
Lineage: Eukaryota; Metazoa; Arthropoda; Insecta; Coleoptera; Dytiscidae
Description: tRNA-Cys
Source: RNAcentral